CAGUCGCCGCGGGAAUACGUAGGUCCCGAGCGUUGUCCGGAUUUAUUGGGCGUAAAGGGAGCGCAGGCGGUCAGGAAAGUCUGGAGUAAAAGGCUAUGGCUCAACCAUAGUGUGCUCUGGAAACUGUCUGACUUGAGUGCAGAAGGGGAGAGUGGAAUUCCAUGUGUAGCGGUGAAAUGCGUAGAUAUAUGGAGGAACACCAGUGGCGAAAGCGGCUCUCUGGUCUGUCACUGACGCUGAGGCCCGAAAGCGUGGGUAGCGAACAGGAUUAGAUACCCCAGUAGUCCCUGUCUCUUAUACC
This 301-nucleotide ribosomal RNA is filed under the name uncultured bacterium. RNAcentral describes it as "partial 16S ribosomal RNA". It matches the Rfam family "Bacterial small subunit ribosomal RNA", at positions 509 to 808 of the family's 1533-position model. The record is from RNAcentral.